RNAcentral lists this long non-coding RNA (199 nucleotides) under Capsicum annuum. RNAcentral describes it as "long non-coding RNA (CANN_LNC004175)". Lineage: Eukaryota; Viridiplantae; Streptophyta; Magnoliopsida; Solanales; Solanaceae. The record is from RNAcentral.
UGGGCGCGAUUCUAUCCUUGUCUGUCGUCCACUCUGUGCAAGGCAUUGCUACUUCAAAUGGAGUCUUUUUUCCCUUGUUAUAUGGCAUCUUCAUUGUUCGGGGAUGAUCUUUUAAUUCCAAAGGCACAUAGCCCCAGAAAUUAGAGGAAGCAAGAAAAUGGAGAGGAGUGUUACCAUCAUUGUCUGGAUCCUCGCUAAG